This 4695-nucleotide long non-coding RNA is filed under the name Selaginella moellendorffii. RNAcentral describes it as "long non-coding RNA (SMOE_LNC001845)". Lineage: Eukaryota; Viridiplantae; Streptophyta; Lycopodiopsida; Selaginellales; Selaginellaceae. The record is from RNAcentral.
UGACGCGAUCGUAGGCCUUGUCGUAGUACUCGAGCGCGCCGCACAUCGCCAGGUCCUCGGGCUCGCCAACGUUGAAGUUGAGCUUGGAGAAAGUCGUGAAGGGGAUCUGAUCCAGCAUCGUCCACUCGGGCUGGAUGUCCACCGAGUUCCGGAACGCCACCGCCUCGUGCUGCUGGGACGUCCGGUUCUGGUUGUACUGCUUGUCACGCCGUUGCUUCUUCUUCUCAGCCUCGCGCUUCUUGGCCUCGAGCUCCUUGUCCUUGCGCUGAGAAAAUGGAGCGAGCGUUCAUUUUUACACACAUGUUUAUAGAGCAACUUAUUAAUGUUUAAUCAAGGUUCUGAAUACAUUGUUUAACAGAUCAAUAUGAAUAUGCUAGAAUCCUCUAGAAUAUAUGGGCCCGUGUAUAAAAGAGGAGCAAUCGCUCACAUCCAGCAUUGAUCAAGUCGAUUUGUUUCUAGCACUCACCCAGUAAAUCUCUUACCCCCCACAUGGCUUUCUAUUUCUAUGGCAAUGGCACGGUGAAAUGGAAUAAAGUGAAAGAAACUUUUAUUUAUCCUAAUAAAUUUAUAAAUUUUCUUUAAAUUAAUUGUUUUUUAGUGAUUUUAUUAUAAUUAAAUGUUUCUUUUUGCUUUUUUAUUGGUCCAGUUUUUAUUAUAAUUCAUUUUAAUGAAUAAGAGUUUUUUUACUAAGCAUUUGUGUGAAAACUUUUAAUGACUAUACACAACUGACUUUCUUAGUCUAUUAAACUAUUUAUUAACCAUUAAUAACUUUGAAUCAUCUAGUGCUUGUUCCAGGGCACUUUUGAAGUUAAGAAUAGCCCCCCAAAUAAAUGUAUAAUACCAUCUAUUUUAUACCUGUCAUUUCACAAAUUUAAAUUUUUAAUAGUGAAUAUAUUGUUAUUCAUUUAGAUUAAUCAUGUAUUUAUAAUUUAUAAGCAUUUUUUAUAGUUUAUUAAAUUUCUUAAACUUCCUUGUAUAUUCUAAAAUACAUAACCUUCAAAUUGAUCAAUAUGCAAUAAGCACUAUUAAUAAGCAAACGAAGCAUUGCUACAUACAACGUGCAACAAAUAAUUUUAAAUUGCUAUUUCACAACUCAUUUACAGAAAAUAUAAAUGUUAAAUUUACUCCUCUCCUUACAUUUUCAUUCUCUUUUCUCUUUUUUCUUUGAUAUGUAUAUAAAGAAAAGUGUUAUAGCAAUUGCUAUGUAAAUUCAAUAAGAAAAACAUUCCUUAUUAUUGAUCUCCAUGUUUGUUAGUGAUAAGGUCAUCAAACACUUUGUGGUCAACACUUGUUAAUGUGUACAACAUUCUCUAGAAUACAAACCUGGCCUCCUAGAAGAGCUCAUCCUGAUGUAAGAAGUUGCUACUCAAUUCUUCACCCUAAACGUCCCUCCCCUAGUUGUACAUAUGGGUUUUCCCUUUCAUGGCUAACUCCAUUCUAAUGUAUAUAUACAUAUGGAUAAUGUAAAAAAAAACCCUUUUCUAUUGCAUGUGGUACUCGGUACAAAGAUGAAGAGUGGACUUCCUAUGGUCACACCCUUUCUGAUAUCACUUGUGAAAUAAAAAUGACUUCUUUAGCUUUUCCAAUAGGGGCUAUAGGAUCAUCUAGGAUGGAUCUUUAAGCCUUCUCCACUUCUAGUUUACUACUAUACCAACAAUGUUUGCAAAAGAAUUUUUUUAUGUGUUUAUGUUAUUUGAGUCAUGCUUUGCACUUCUAUGAUUAUCUUUAUAGUUAAAGUUUGUUGUUUGUGUUUUUGGGUGCUCAACUAGACCAUUAUAUAAUGAAUGCCAAUGGAAAACCUUUCACACUUUUGUUUUUUUAGUUUUUAGUCUUGGUGAUGUGGCUAAAAGUUAAAGGUUAGUAUGGGUUAAUAUUCCUUGAAAUGUUUAAUUAAGCAUAUUGUUAAGAUCACAAAGCCAAUGAAUAGCAAUUAUUUUGUAAAGUUUGCACUCUUUGUCAACUACAAAAGUUAUAGAAGAGGAUCAUCUUCUGUGACAUGUACACUAAGGCCCACAUGUUAGUCUGGUUAGAUUUUACUUCAUUUUUCUUGGAUCAAUAUACAGUGAGGAAAUUAGCCAAAUCUUAUCAAAUCUUUAAUUUUCUUCCUGUAUAGAUGACUUAGCAAAACUGUGGUUAGCCUGAAACCCAAGGAUGAGGUUUGGAGUAUAUGCAAAAGUCAGACCUCAUGAUCCACACCAUUGUUAUUUUUAUCAUAUGAUAUUCAUUCCCCGGAGUAUAAAAGCCAGCCUAUUAGAAGCCACAUUUCACAGAACAAUAUGGCAAAGAUUCAGCUCUCAACCAUAGUUUUGCAGCUUUUGUUCACCUCUCUUGUAGUUGCAAUGGCACUUGCAAUAGGUACUUUAAAAUUCAAAUCUCUAACCAUAAGAUUUGCUAAUAAAAUUUACAGGGGAGAACAACAUUAUCACUAGGAAACUCCUCCAAGGAUGUGGGGAUACUUUGGCACGAUGCUCCAAAGACGGUGAUUGUUGCCAAGGCCACUGUGCCUUCGCAGGCUCUGUGCUUGGCACCUGUCAGCCUAUUUAAUUAGCCACUUAAAUUACCUCAUAAACAUACUACCUAAGAGGAGUAAUUCAUCCAAUAAAUCUAUUUCCUUUGUGUGGCUUUAUAUACAAAUAUGGCUUUGUAUUUCUUGGCAAUGGCGAAACCUCUCUCAAAGGAUGACUUUUGAGAGAGAGGAGAGAGAGAAUGGCAGCCGUGGAGCUAUUUUUUCGCGGCUUUAGUUUUGCCCUGCUUUCCGCAUCGAGAGAGAGUUUCCAGGAGAUGGGAAACUUCAUCACAGUAAGAGGCCUCAAAAUUCAUCCUGCGCUUAGUCUGGUGGCCUCUCAAGAUCCAAUCGAAUUCUCACAAACAAAAACUCAAAGCUCGAGAAAGCAUGCUGGUCUACUUGCAGCGCCAUGUUGUGUCAUUCCAAAUUUCAAACACCACCACUGUGAGAUUUCUUCUCUAGUACCACGAAUACAUCCGCUCACGCUCCAUCUGCGCUCUCCCAGACAGAGAGAGAAGAAAGAACACGACCAAAUUUUCACCAGACCACAAAGUCUGGUGUAUACGCAAGAUUACAAACAGAAAUUAGAAAAACAAGAACACACUCUCUCUCUUAAACAUCAGCGUCCACAUCCUUCUCUUCGCUUGGCUUGGCGUCGCCGCUCUCCUCCUCCGCCGGCGGCGGUGGAACCUGUUCUUCCUCGGGCAGCGGCUCCUCCACAUAGUCAUUCUCAAACGCAUCCGAUGGAACCAGGUACAAUCUCACCUGUGGCUUCUGCGGGUCCUUGACAAGAACAUACUUACCUUCGGCCAGCUUCAAGCAAACAUCCACGAUCGACUUGACAAUCCCCCACAUGUUGUUGGUGCUGAGAUUGAUCUGCGCUGCGAAAUCCUUGGGCUUGUGCCCCUGGACGCUCAGCACCGUGUGGUUGUAGUGAUCGCGGGGAUGGAUCCUCGACACGUAUCCCAGCUUCAUCACGUCCGCGCUCGCCAGCAGCGCCUGCGCGGUCCACUUGGCGAGCUUGUUCGCGUUGUUCUUGAGCUCGGUCGCCAGCACCGCACCCCGCUGCGUCUCCAGCUUCUGCCUCCAGUCCACCCCCGAGAGCUUGGGAUCGAACUCGUUGAGCGCGUUGAGCGUGAGGAAGACGCUGCCGUUCUUCGACUCCAUGACGCUGUGGAGCUCGCAGCGCGCCACCAGGAACGUCUCGUCGUCCAGCUUCCAACGGCGGUACCUGUACGCCACGCUCGCCGCCACCUCGCUGUCCCCGGCGAACGGGUUCUGCUCCUGGAACUGGACCUUGCCGCCGUCGCGGACGAGCACUUGCUGCGAAAAGUUCUGGUUGAUGUACGCCGCCUCCACGCUGAGCGAGUGCGCCGAGUUGAUGUCCUCCUUGGCCUCGGGCAGUGGCUCCUGGCAAGUCUCGUUCACGGACAGGAGAUCCAGCUGCGAGUUGUCCCUCUUGUCGAAGAAGAGCUUGUUUCCAACGCGCUGGACGACGAUGUCCCACGAGUAGACCGAGCGCGGAGCACACAUGAGCGUGGAGAGGAUGUUGUCCGUCGCAAACACCGUCGCCUUGUCCUCGCUGGCCAGGCGGCGGAUCACCGGAUCAUCGCUCGUCGUCACCUUGAAGAAGUUCAUGUUCUUGAAGCGCUCAAGGCGGCGGUCGGUCUUGGGCGUGACGCGAUCGUAGGCCUUGUCGUAGUACUCGAGCGCGCCGCACAUCGCCAGGUCCUCGGGCUCGCCAACGUUGAAGUUGAGCUUGGAGAAAGUCGUGAAGGGGAUCUGAUCCAGCAUCGUCCACUCGGGCUGGAUGUCCACCGAGCUCCGGAACGCCGCCGCCUCCCGCCGCUGGGACGUCCGGUUCUGGUUGUACUGCUUGUCACGCCGCUGCUUCUCCUUCUCGGCCUCGCGCUUCUUGGCCUCGAGCUCCUCGUCCUUGCGCUGAGGCAGGAGGCGCUGGUUGGGCCGCCACUUGUUGUAGUUCCGCCGCGGCGGCGGCUUCCCAUCCACGGGCUUGAAUGUGUCCUCGUCGGCUUCAUCGUAGACGAAAUCAAAGACGCUCUCGCCCGCGCGCAUACCUCGAGAGGGAUAGGAUCGGCUCCAAUCGGCGGCGCGCCCCAGCUUCUCGUUCUUGGCGAAGGGCGCCAGGAGGAGCGGGCUCUGCGCCGCCGCCGCUGGCAGUGUCGAUG